UACGUAGGUGGCGAGCGUUGUCCGGAUUUACUGGGCGUAAAGGAUGCGUAGGUGGAUACUUAAGUGGGAUGUGAAAUCCCCGGGCUUAACCCGGGAACUGCAUUCCAAACUGGGUAACUUGAGUGCAGGAGAGGAAAGCGGAAUUCCUAGUGUAGCGGUGAAAUGCGUAGAUAUUAAGAAGAACACCGGUGGCGAAGGCGGCUUUCUGGACUGUAACUGACACUGAGGCAUGAAAGCGUGGGGAGCAAACAGG
Molecule: ribosomal RNA, 253 nt
Filed under: uncultured bacterium
Lineage: Bacteria
Description: partial 16S ribosomal RNA
Rfam family: Bacterial small subunit ribosomal RNA
Source: RNAcentral